This 3431-nucleotide ribosomal RNA is filed under the name Hevea brasiliensis (rubber tree). RNAcentral's name for it is "eukaryotic LSU rRNA". It matches the Rfam family "Eukaryotic large subunit ribosomal RNA". The record is from RNAcentral. Lineage: Eukaryota; Viridiplantae; Streptophyta; Magnoliopsida; Malpighiales; Euphorbiaceae.
CGCGACCCAGGUCAGGCGGGAACAACCCGCUGAGUUAAGCAUAUCAUUAAGGCGGGAAAGAAACUUACCAGGAUUCCCCUAGUAACGGCGAGCGAACCGGGAAGAGCCCAGCUUGGAUCGGGCGCCCUCAUGCGUCCGAAUUGUAGUCUGGGAAGCGUCCUCAUCGGGCGACCGGCCCAAGUCCCCUGGAAGGGGGCGCCGGAAGAAGGGUGAGAGCCCCGGUCGUGCCCGGACCCUGUCGGCAACCACCGAGGCGGGCUGUCUCGGUCGGGUUGUUUGGGAAAUGCAGCCCCGAAUCGGGCGGUAAAUUCCGUCCAAGGGCUAAAUGACGUGCGAGAGACCGAUAGGCGAACGAAAGCGGCCACAAGUACGCGAGGGAAGAGAAAAGGAUUUGAAAAGAGAGUCAAGAGUGCUUGAAUUGUCGGGAGGGAAGCGGAUUGGGGGGCCGGCGAUGCGCCCCGGUCGGAUGUGAACGGCGACAAGCCGUCCGCCGAUCGCUCGGGGCGCGGACCGACGCGGAUCGCGGUCGGCGGCCAAGCCCGGGCACUAGAAACGCCCUGCGAGAACGCCGUCGCAGCGAUCGUGGACAUCAGGCGUCGCCGUCCGGCGUGCCCGCGGCACCCGCGCGCUCCUGGCGUCGCCAGAGCGGGCUCCCCAUUCGGCCGCGUCUUGAAACACGGACCAAGGGUCCUGACAUGUGUGCGAGUCAACGGGCGGUAAACCCGUAAGGCGGCAAGGAAGCUGACUGGCGGGAUCCCCCGAGGGUUGCACCGCCUGCCGAGCCUCGAUCUUCUGAGAAGGGUUCGAGUGAGAGCAUGCCUGUUCGGGACCCGAAAGAUGGUGAAACUAUGCCUGAGCGGGGCGAAGCCAAGGAAACUCUGGUGGAGCCCGCAGGCGAUACUGACGUGGGCAAAUCGUUCGUCUGAACUUGGGUCUAAGGGGCGAAAAACUAAUCGAACCGUCUAGUAAGCUGGUUCCCUCGAAGUUUCCCUCAGGAUAGCUGGAGCUCGGACGAGUUCUAUCGGGUAAAGCCAAGAUUAGAGGCAUCGGGGGCGGCAACGCCCUCGACCUAUCCAAACUUUUAAAAUAGUAGGACGGCGCGGCGCUUCGCUGAGCCGGCGCCACGGAAUCUGGGAGAGCUCCAAGUGGGCCAUUUUUGGUAAGGCAGAACUGGCGAUGGCGGGAAAAUGAACCGGAAGCGGGUUACGGUGCCCAACUGCGCGCUAACCAGAACCACAAAGGGUGUUGGUCGAUUAAGACAAGCAGGAACGGUGGUCUGGAAGUCGAAAUCCGCUAAGGAGUGUGUAACAACUCACCUGCCGAAUCAACUAGCCCCGAAAAUGGAUGGCGCUUAAGGGCGGGCGACCUAUACACCGGCCGUCGGGCAAGAGGCCAGGCCCGAUGAGUAGGAGGGCGGCGGCGGCCGCUGCAAAAACCCGGGGCGGCAGAGCCGGGCGGAGCGGCCGCCGGUGCAGAUCUUGGUGUAGUAGCAAAUAUUCAAAUGAGAACUUUGAAGGCCGAAGAGGGAAAGGUUCAUGUGAACGGCACUUGCACAUGGGUUAGUCGAUCCUAAAGAGACGGGGGAAAGCCGUCCGACAAGCGCGUCCGCGCGCGAGCUUCGAAAGGGAAUCGGGUUAAAAUCCCGAACCGGGACGCGGUCGGCUGACGGUGCAACAGUAGGGAGUCGGAGACGUCGGCGGGCCUCGGAAGAGUUAUCUUUUCUGUUUAACGGCCCGCCCACCCUGAAACGAAUCAAGUCGGAGUAGGGUCCAGCGGCCGGAAGAAGCACCGGCACGUCGCGCGUGUCCGGUGCGCCCCCGGCUGGCCCGUGAAAAAUCCGGAGGACCGAGUGCCUUGCAACCGCGCCCGGUCGUACUCAUAACCGCAUCAGGUCUCCAAGGUGAACAGCUCUGGCCAAUGGAACAAAAUGUAGCAAGGGAAGUCGGCAACGGAAUACCGUAACCUCGGAAAGGAUUGGCUCGAGGGCUGGGCCCGGGGGUCCGCAGUCCGACCCGUCGGCUGUCGGCGGACUGCUCGAGCUGCUCCGCGGCGAGAGCGGGUCGCCGCGGUGCCGGCCGGGGGAACGGACUGGGAACGGCCCCUCCGGGGGCCUUCCCGGGCGUCGAACAGUCGACAUCAGAACUGGUAGCGGACAAGGGGAAUCCGACUGUUAAUUAAAACAAAGCAUUGCGAUGGUCCUGCGGAUGCUCACGCAUGUGAUUUCUGCCCAGUGCCUGAAUGUCAAAGUGAAGAAAUUCACCAACGCGCGGGUAAACGGCGGGAGUAACUAUGACUCUUUAAGGUAGCAAAUGCCUCUGUCAUCUAAUUAAGUGACGCGCAUGAAUGGAUUAACGGAUUCCCACUGCCUGUCUACUAUCCAGCGAAACCAACAGGCCCAAGGGAACGGGCUUGGCGGAAUCAGGCGGGGAUAAGAAGACCUGUUGAGCUUGACUCUAGUCCGAACUUUGUGAAAUGACUUGAGAGUGUAGGAUAAGUGGGAGCCGGAAAACGGCGACGGUGAAAUACCACUCUUUUAACUUAUUUUACUUCUUCCGUGAAUCGGAGGCCGGGGCCCUCGCCCCUUUUUGGACGCCAAGGCCGCCACGGCGGCCGAUCCGGGCGGAAACAUUGUCAGGUGGGGAGUUUGGCUGAAGGCGGCACAUCUUGUUAAUAAGAUAACGCAGGUGUCGCUAAGAUGAGCUCAAGCGAGAACAGAAAUCUCGUGUGGAAACAAAAGGGAAAAGCUCGUUUGAUUCUGAUUUCCAUACGAAUACGACCGUGAAAGCGUGGCUAUCGAUCCUUUAGACUUCGGUUUGCAGCUAGAGGUGUCAGAAAAGUUACCACAUAGGGAUAACUGGCUUUGUGGCAGCCAAGCGUUCAUAGCGACGUUGCUUUUUGAUCCUAUCGAUGUCGGCUCUUCCUAUCAUUGUGAAGCAGAAUUCAAUCACGCAAGUGUUGAUUGUUCACCCCACCAAAGGGAACGUGAGGCUGGGUUAGACGUCGGAGACAGGUUUAGUUUUCCCUACUGAUGACCGCGUCGCGAUGUAAUUCAACCUAUAGAGAGGAACCGUUGAUUUCGGCACAAUUGUCCAUCGCGCUGGUUGAAAAAGCCAGUGGCGCGAAGGCUAACCGUGCGCUGGAUUAUGACUGAACGCCUCUAAGUCAGAAUCCGGGCCAGAAGCGACGCCCGUGUCGGCGCCCGCUUGCCGACCCGCAGUAGGGGCCCUCCGGCCCAGAGGCACGUGCCGUUGGCCAAGCCCCGCGGCGGAUCGAGCCGCGCUGGCCGCCUGAAGUACUAUCCCACACGGGCGUCGGGGCAGAAUCCUUUGCAGACGACCUUAAAUACGCGACGGGGUAUUGUAAGUGGCCACGAGUGGCCUUGCUGCCAAACGAUCCACCUGAGAUUCAGCCCUUUGUCGGCUCCGAUUCGU